UAUAUCGGUGUCGAAAUCCUGCACCUAGACGUCCGAUUUAGCAUGUGAGUUCCGCCGCAGUAAGGGAUGAAGACGUAGACUAGCAAUAUGUGCAGUAGUGUGACAUAGGGCUGACAUGGUAAUGUAAGACCCAGUUGGCUACGCCUGGCUCUUCGUGACAGUGCGUGACGCUGAUGUCACAGAAGGCCAGGGGAGCAAACUGGUAUUACAUACCAUGGUAGUCCCAGUCAGUAGCGGUGCCGUAUUUGGCGUGGGAGGAUUCGACUCCUUUAUGCGCGGGAGUUAACGCGUUAGAUCGUGGAGCCUGGGGAGUACGGUCGCAAGAUUAAAACUCAAAGAAAUUGACCGGGGUCCGCACAAGCGGUGGAGUAUGUGGCUCAAUUCGAUGCAUAUCGAAGAACCUUACCUGGCCUUGACAUGCAUCUCUUACUCGGUGAAAGCUGUCGAGUCCCGAAAGGGACAAUUAGCACAGGUGUUGCAUGGCUGUAGUCAGCUCGUGUCGUGAGAUGUUGGGUUAAGUCCCGCAAUGAGCGCAACCCCUGUGAACUGUUGCCACCGGGCCGUGAGGCUCGAGCACUCUGUUCAGACUGCCCCGCUCUAACGGGGAGGAAGGUGGGGACGACGUCAAGUCAGUAUGGCCCUUACGGCCAGGGCUGCACACGUACUACAAUGCCCAGUACAGAACGAUCCAAGACCGCGAGGUGGAGGAAAUCACUAAAACUGGGCCCAGUUCAGAUUGAAGUCUGCAACUCGACUUCAUGAAGCCGGAAUCGCUAGUAAUGGCGCAUCAGCUACGGCGCCGUGAAUACGUUCCCGGGCCUUGUACACACCGCCCGCCACAUCAUGGAAGUCGCUUGUAGCCGAAGUCGGCGCGCUAACCGCAAGGAGGCAGCCGCCUACGCUAUGAGCGGUAACAGGGAUGAAGUCGUAACAAGGUAACCA
Molecule: ribosomal RNA, 942 nt
Filed under: uncultured soil bacterium
Lineage: Bacteria
Description: partial small subunit ribosomal RNA
Rfam family: Bacterial small subunit ribosomal RNA
Source: RNAcentral